Molecule: ribosomal RNA, 542 nt
Filed under: uncultured Glomeromycotina
Lineage: Eukaryota; Fungi; Glomeromycota
Description: SSU rRNA
Rfam family: Eukaryotic small subunit ribosomal RNA
Source: RNAcentral
GCAAGUCUGGUGCCAGCAGCCGCGGUAAUUCCAGCUCCAAUAGCGUAUAUUAAAGUUGUCGCAGUUAAAAAGCUCGUAGUUGAACCUCGGGAUCAAUGGAUCGGUCAUGCCAUCGGUAUGUACUGGUCUCAUUGGUUCUCACCUUCUAAGGAACCAUGAUGUCAUUCAGUUGAUGUUGUGGGGAAUUAGGACUGUUACCUUGAAAAAAUUAGAGUGUUUAAAGCAGGCUAACGCUUGAAUACAUUAGCAUGGAAUAAUGAAAUAGGACAUCGCAUUCUAUUUUGUUGGUUUCUAGGAUCGAUGUAAUGAUUAAUAGGGAUAGUUGGGGGCAUUAGUAUUCAAUUGUCAGAGGUGAAAUUCUUGGAUUUAUUGAAGACUAACUACUGCGAAAGCAUUUGCCAGGGAUGUUUUCAUUAAUCAAGAACGAAAGUUAGGGGAUCGAAGAUGAUCAGAUACCGUCGUAGCCUUAACCAUAAACUAUGCCGACUAGGGAUCGGAUGAUGUUGAUUUUUUAAUGACUCAUUCGGCGCCUUACGGGAAAC